UGGGGUAUAACUCAGUGGUAGAGCUUAUGUUUAGCAUGCACAAGGCCCUGGGUUCAAUCCCUGGCACCCCCA
Molecule: transfer RNA, 72 nt
Filed under: Heterocephalus glaber (naked mole-rat)
Lineage: Eukaryota; Metazoa; Chordata; Mammalia; Rodentia; Bathyergidae
Rfam family: tRNA
About the family: Transfer RNA (tRNA) molecules are approximately 80 nucleotides in length. Their secondary structure includes four short double-helical elements and three loops (D, anti-codon, and T loops).
Source: Rfam by way of RNAcentral